RNAcentral lists this long non-coding RNA (2410 nucleotides) under Homo sapiens (human). RNAcentral describes it as "non-protein coding BHLHE40-AS1:26". The record is from RNAcentral. Lineage: Eukaryota; Metazoa; Chordata; Mammalia; Primates; Hominidae.
AGUGCUGUGUAUGCAGCCAUAUAGUGAAUGCCUUCAUUUGCACCCUGAACUCUGAAUAGUCACUUUUAAAACAUCCAUCUGUCAUCCAUCUAGUGAGGUCAGGAGAGUGGCUGCUUAACUUCUGGGGGUUGCAGAAAAGGAAGAAGAAUCAGCAGAGAGCAUUUGUGGCCAGCAAAGCUUAAAAUAUUUCCUAACCGAUCCUUUGCAAAAAAAGUUCACCCACUCCUGUAGUCAGCAGCUCCCCUACUGUGCGCAGUCAGUGUGCCAUCUCAGACUAGCAAAGUUGUCCAGAGAGGAAAGACAGGCCAAAAUAGUUCAGUAUGCUGUCUUACUGGGAGGACAACAGCUUAAGCCACAAAGCCCUGAGUUUGACCCUAGAACUCUGUGGCUACUGGUGACUCAUCUUGAAAAUUAUCAGAUUGAAUCUUCUCUACCGGUUUGAUAACAACUGAUGAGUGGAAAAAGAACGCCAAUCAAAUGUGCAUGCUUAAUAAGCAGCCUCCUUAUUCCCCUCUGCAGAUUUGUGCUUGGAUCAUCUACACUUCCCUGAAUGUUGAAGAAGAUAUGCUAUCCAUGCAAUCCUUGUCGACUGCUUGAUUAAAAAGUGGAUAAACUGUCUUCAGGCCCUUGGAGUAUGGUGUCUGUGUGAAGAAGGGAAUGAGGCAGAAGUAGCAGUCAGUGGUGGCUGAAGUAGGAGAAAGUGCUUGCUAAUGAAAUCUUGAUUUUUCUGUGGCUUUUCUGUGCAAUUGGGUGGCUAAGUAGGAAAGCCAUUGGAGCUUCACUGUAUCAAUUCUGCCUUUCUUGUUUUUUGGAACUCCAAUUCACCAAGGCUCCCUGCCACCCUAUCCAUCUAUAACUUUUCAUCACUUUUUCCUCAAAGUAAGAAGUGUGUCCCAGAAAAUGUGCCUUUGUGACUCAGCAACAUUUCAAAUCCAUCUGAGCCUUCCCAGCGUUCCAAAAGAAAUACUGAUUUGAAUUCAGCUGCUUAAAAAACCAGUCUCUAAGCAGACAGCUUGAAACUUCCUUACAGCAAUAGUUUAGGCUUUGGAGGGGAAAUUGGUUUGUUUUUAAUUGUUUUAAUUUUUCAUUCAAUUCAUUUGCCGCCUGAUUAUAUAUGAUCUUUUGAGCCCAAUACUCUGCUAAAUUAACCUUGACUUUCUUUCUCUCUUUCUCUCUCUCUCCUUCUCUCUUUCUUCCUUUCUUUCUUUCUUUUUGACAGAGCCUUGCUCUGUCGCCCAGGCUGGAAUGCAGUGGCACAAUCUCAGCUCACUGUAAACUCCGCCUCCAAAGUUCAAGCAAUUCUCCUGCCUCAGCCUCCUGUGUAGCUGGGAUUACACACGCCAGCCACCAUGCCUGGCUAAUUUUUGUAUUUUUAGUAAAGAUGGAGUUUCACCCUCUUGGCCAAGCUGGUCUCGAACUCCUGACCUCAACCUUGGCCUCUCAAAGUGCUGGGAUUACAAGCAUGAGCCACCAUGCCUGGCCUUACCUUGAUUUUUUUUUUUUGAGACAGAGUCUCACUCUGUUGCUCAGGCUGGAGUGUAGUGGCUCGAUCUUGGCUCACUGCAACCUCCAUCUCCCGGGUUCAAGAGAUUCUCCUGCCUCAGCCUCCCAAGUAGCUGGGACUACAGGUGUGGGCCACCACGCCUAGCUAAUUUUUUAUAUGUUUACUAGAGACAGGGUUUCACCAUGUUGGGCAGGCUGGUCUUGAACUCCUGACCUCAGGUGAUUCACCUGCCUCGGCCUCCCAAAAUGCUGGGAUUACAGGUGUGAGCCACCACACCCGGCCCCUACCUUUGAUUUUUAAGUCAAGAGGGAACAAGUCGAAAUUUCUAUUCAGGUAAACUGUAUACCUUUGGACACUGAAUCACUUUUAGAACCCCAGUAAAAAUCAUGUAUGAAUGACCCACAAUUUCACUCCAACAGGAAGGUGUGUAUAUGUGCACAAAAACAUUAGAUUGUUCACACCGGUGCUAUUCAUAAUAGUCAAAAACUGGAAACAACUCAAACAUCCAUCAACUGUAGAAUGGAUAAAUAAAUCAUGAUAUAUUCAUACCAUGGAACAUAACAGUGACAAUAAAUGAACCACUGCUACACACAACAGAUAUGAAUUUCACAAACAGAAUGCUGAGCAACAGAAGCCAAACACAGAAGGAUACACAUUUAUAAAUCCAUUUGUAUGAAGUUCAUAAACAGACAAAAUUAGUCAGUGGAGAUUAUUCUCAUAGAAGUCUGAAGGGUAGUUGUCUUUAGGGAGGGGGAUAUAGUGACUGAGGUGGGUAUAAGGGGUUUCUGGGGUUUGGUGAUGGUACACCAGCAUAUUCACUCUGAAAACUCAUUGAGCUGUGCAAUAAUGAUUUUUCAAACUUUUAUAUGUGUAUGAUAAUGCUUCAAUAAAGCUUUGCUUAAAAAC